GUGGGGAAUCUUCCACAAUGGACGAAAGUCUGAUGGAGCAACGCCGCGUGAGUGAAGAAGGGUUUCGGCUCGUAAAGCUCUGUUGUCGGGGACGAAUGUGCAGUAUUUGAAUAAAGUACUGUAAUGACGGUACCUGACGAGGAAGCCACGGCUAACUACGUGCCAGCAGCCGCGGUAAUACGUAGGUGGCAAGCGUUGUCCGGAAUUAUUGGGCGUAAAGGGAGCGCAGGCGGGAAGGUAAGUCGGUCUUAAAAGUGCGGGGCUCAACCCCGUGAUGGGAUCGAAACUAUCUUUCUUGAGUGCAGGAGAGGAAAGUGGAAUUCCUAGUGUAGCGGUGAAAUGCGUAGAUAUUAGGAGGAACACCAGUGGCGAAGGCGGCUUUCUGGACGGUGUCUGACACUGAGGCGCGAAAGCCAGGGGAGCGAACGGGAUUAGAUACCCUUGUAGUCC
Molecule: ribosomal RNA, 450 nt
Filed under: uncultured bacterium
Lineage: Bacteria
Description: partial 16S ribosomal RNA
Rfam family: Bacterial small subunit ribosomal RNA
Source: RNAcentral